Molecule: ribosomal RNA, 507 nt
Filed under: uncultured bacterium
Lineage: Bacteria
Description: bacterial SSU rRNA
Rfam family: Bacterial small subunit ribosomal RNA
Source: RNAcentral
GACGAACGCUGGCGGCGUGCCUAAUACAUGCAAGUCGAACGCACUCUCGUUUAGAUUGAAGGAGCUUGCUCCUGAUUGAUAAACAUUUGAGUGAGUGGCGGACGGGUGAGUAACACGUGGGUAACCUGCCCUAAAGUGGGGGAUAACAUUUGGAAACAGAUGCUAAUACCGCAUAAAACCUAAACACCGCAUGGUGUAGGGUUGAAAGAUGGUUUCGGCUAUCACUUUAGGAUGGACCCGCGGUGCAUUAGUUAGUUGGUGAGGUAAAGGCUCACCAAGACCGUGAUGCAUAGCCGACCUGAGAGGGUAAUCGGCCACACUGGGACUGAGACACGGCCCAGACUCCUACGGGAGGCAGCAGUAGGGAAUCUUCCACAAAUGGACGAAAGUCUGAUGGAGCAACGCCGCGUGAGUGAAGAAGGUUUUCGGAUCGUAAAACUCUGUUGUUGGAGAAGAAUGUAUCUGAUAGUAACUGAUCAGGUAGUGACGGUAUCCAACCAGAAAGCC